UACGGGGGGAGCAAGCGUUGUUCGGAUUUACUGGGCGUAAAGGGCGCGUAGGCGGUCGUGACAAGUCACUUGUGAAAUCUCCGGGCUUAACUCGGAGCGGCCAAGUGAUACUGUUGUGCUAGAGUGCGGAAGGGGCUACUGGAAUUCUCGGUGUAGCGGUGAAAUGCGUAGAUAUCGAGAGGAACACCUGCGGCGAAGGCGGGUAGCUGGGCCGACACUGACGCUGAGGCGCGAAAGCCAGGGGAGCGAACGGG
RNAcentral lists this ribosomal RNA (254 nucleotides) under uncultured bacterium. Its description in RNAcentral is "partial 16S ribosomal RNA". It matches the Rfam family "Bacterial small subunit ribosomal RNA", at positions 524 to 776 of the family's 1533-position model. The record is from RNAcentral.